RNAcentral lists this unclassified non-coding RNA (230 nucleotides) under Hevea brasiliensis (rubber tree). The record is from RNAcentral. Lineage: Eukaryota; Viridiplantae; Streptophyta; Magnoliopsida; Malpighiales; Euphorbiaceae.
GGACAAGCCAUUUUCGGUAAUUAUAGUGUAAUCUAUGCAUUUUCUAUAAGGUUGUGUUGGAUAACACAUUCCAAAUGCAAGGAUUUGAAUUUUGAGUUUUCAGUUCAAAUUGUAUACAUCAUGAUUUGAAGUUACUAAGGGAUGAGAAAGGAAAAACAUGUUUCAAUUCUGCAUUUGAAAUACUGGCACCUUAUAGGAUGAUUUUGUUUUUCCCGUUUUUUUUUUUUUCU